Molecule: ribosomal RNA, 67 nt
Filed under: uncultured archaeon
Lineage: Archaea
Description: partial 23S ribosomal RNA
Source: RNAcentral
UUAGUAUAAACCUACCAUUGGAUGGCUCGGUUCAAGUGCCGAUGAAGGGCGUGCUAAGCUGCGAUAA